Molecule: transfer RNA, 69 nt
Filed under: Ictidomys tridecemlineatus (thirteen-lined ground squirrel)
Lineage: Eukaryota; Metazoa; Chordata; Mammalia; Rodentia; Sciuridae
Description: Spermophilus tridecemlineatus (thirteen-lined ground squirrel) tRNA
Rfam family: tRNA
About the family: Transfer RNA (tRNA) molecules are approximately 80 nucleotides in length. Their secondary structure includes four short double-helical elements and three loops (D, anti-codon, and T loops). Further hydrogen bonds mediate the characteristic L-shaped molecular structure. tRNAs have two regions of fundamental functional importance: the anti-codon, which is responsible for specific mRNA codon recognition, and the 3' end, to which the tRNAs corresponding amino acid is attached (by aminoacyl-tRNA synthetases). tRNAs cope with the degeneracy of the genetic code in two manners: having more than one tRNA (with a specific anti-codon) for a particular amino acid; and 'wobble' base-pairing, i.e. permitting non-standard base-pairing at the 3rd anti-codon position.
Source: Rfam by way of RNAcentral
GGGGUUGUGGCUCAGUGGUAGAGCAUUUGCCUAGCAUGCAUGAGGCACUGGGUUCAAUCCUCAGCACCA